Peromyscus maniculatus bairdii (prairie deer mouse) is the source of this 419-nucleotide non-coding RNA. The record is from RefSeq and is a predicted model, not a curated record. Lineage: Eukaryota; Metazoa; Chordata; Mammalia; Rodentia; Cricetidae.
ACGCUGGCGGCUCUGCAGGGGGCGAUGGCUUCUGCACAGUGCCCUCUCUUCUCCACCCGAGGCUCUGGCCUGGCCGCGGCGCCGAACAGAAUGUCCCCGCGGUCCCUGAAGCUGAACUACAAAAAUCAAGACCAUGACUGGACAAACUUGUCAAGAAGAGGAAAAAGAAGAAGAAAAGAUGGGUUACCUGUUUCACAUACACUGUUUCAUCUGCUUCUCAAAGCUCUGGUUUAGUCAUAAAUAUUCGAUCAUCCAGCCAGGGCUCCUUCAGAGGUUAAAGGAGAGUUAUCAAUUGACUUCAGCUCCUGUGCAACACCAGCCAAGGGUCCACCAGCUUCAGACAUUGGGCAAAGGAAGCCUUGGCAGUCAGGUGAGUAAAGCCGUGGUAGCCAAGAUGCAUUCUGGUUUUAGAUCUAGCC